UGGCAGGCUAGCCCGGGUAGUUAGGCGUUACCUAUGACCCGAAAUCGCCGAUAUGCGGGGGGCGAAGCCGUUGGAAGAUGUUAUCAAUUACCUCUUCAACCCACGGACUUGACUGAGAAGCUCCGUCCUAUGGGGAUAACGUUGAUAUGGAAGCUUUCCUGAAGGCAUGUUUCCAUGACUUAAUUGAGGGUACCGGUCCAGGCCCGGAAGGGAGCAGACUUACCUUGAACAAUUAUCGCUCAUGGGGCAGCGGGGUGGAGGACAGACUGUGGACCAUUGGAGGGUAUGCGGUGCAACGACCAUUCGGCGUGUCUGCCA
This 318-nucleotide signal recognition particle RNA is filed under the name ANME-2 cluster archaeon. RNAcentral's name for it is "signal recognition particle sRNA". It matches the Rfam family "Archaeal signal recognition particle RNA". Lineage: Archaea; Methanobacteriati; Methanobacteriota; Methanomicrobia; Methanosarcinales. The record is from RNAcentral.